RNAcentral lists this ribosomal RNA (301 nucleotides) under uncultured bacterium. RNAcentral describes it as "partial 16S ribosomal RNA". It matches the Rfam family "Bacterial small subunit ribosomal RNA", at positions 509 to 809 of the family's 1533-position model. The record is from RNAcentral.
CAGCAGCCGCGGUAAUACGAAGGGUGCAAGCGUUAAUCGGAAUUACUGGGCGUAAAGCGCGCGUAGGUGGUUUGGUAAGAUGGAUGUGAAAUCCCCGGGCUCAACCUUGGAACUGCAUCCAUAACUGCCUGACUAGAGUACGGUAGAGGGUGGUGGAAUUUCCUGUGUAGCGGUGAAAUGCGUAGAUAUAGGAAGGAACACCAGUGGCGAAGGCGACCACCUGGACUGAUACUGACACUGAGGUGCGAAAGCGUGGGGAGCAAACAGGAUUAGAUACCCCCGUAGUCCCUGUCUCUUAUAA